UGUAAGCGUAUACCAAAGUUGUUGCAGUUAAAACGCUCGUAGUCGGAAUUUGGCAGUUCCGAAAGUGUGCACGUCGUGUGCGCACUUUGCGGGGACUGCUUUUGUGGUCUUGCGUAGGAUGAGGCACUUUCAUUAGUGAACGUCCUCACGCAACCACUCUUUACUGUGAGAAAAUCAGAGUGCUCAAAGCAGGCAUUUGCCGUGAAUGUAUUAGCAUGGAAUAAUAGAAUAGGACUCGGUUCUAUUUUGUUGGUUUGUUGGGACUGAGUAAUGAUUAAGAGGGACAGUUGGGGGCAUUUGUAUUCCGGCGCUAGAGGUGAAAUUCUUAGAUUGCCGGAAGACAAACUGCUGCGAAAGCGUCUGCCAAGGAUGUUUUCAUUGA
RNAcentral lists this ribosomal RNA (382 nucleotides) under uncultured eukaryote. RNAcentral describes it as "partial 18S ribosomal RNA". It matches the Rfam family "Eukaryotic small subunit ribosomal RNA", at positions 592 to 976 of the family's 1831-position model. The record is from RNAcentral.